This 498-nucleotide long non-coding RNA is filed under the name Homo sapiens (human). Its description in RNAcentral is "non-protein coding lnc-SLC2A12-7:5". The record is from RNAcentral. Lineage: Eukaryota; Metazoa; Chordata; Mammalia; Primates; Hominidae.
AGACACAAGGCAGAAGAAGUGUUCUAUGCAGUCAAAGUUUUACAGAAGAAAGCAAUCCUGAAAAAGAAAGAGGUAUGAGAUGUGCUUGAUGGGGCUGGCAUUGGCGGUAGACACUCCUUGAAUAAUCUUGAUUCUGGAAUGUUGGUGCCAAGUUGAAACAUGCCACUAAAUCUGAAUCGUCAUUUUCCUAGGAGAAGCAUAUUAUGUCGGAGCGGAAUGUUCUGUUGAAGAAUGUGAAGCACCCUUUCCUGGUGGGCCUUCACUUCUCUUUCCAGACUGCUGACAAAUUGUACUUUGUCCUAGACUACAUUAAUGGUGGAGAGUUGUUCUACCAUCUCCAGAGGGAACGCUGCUUCCUGGAACCACGGGCUCGUUUCUAUGCUGCUGAAAUAGCCAGUGCCUUGGGCUACCUGCAUUCACUGAACAUCGUUUAUAGGUAAGCCUGAGAGCUCUUCAGGCUACCAGUUUUGGUAUAAAGGAGACGUAGCACUGGCUGUU